AAAUCAAAGUGAAGGUUGUGAUAUUUUAUACAAAUAGAAUUAUUAUUUAAGAGAAAUAACCUGUUUAUGCCUAAUUAGAGUUUUAAUCGUUUCAAUUACCUAGUUCCUUUAAGAACAAAUUUAGUGAGAAUAUCAGUUCCAGUCAGGGGUACCAAACAUUUUUAGUGACAGAGUACACACAGGUAUGUAAAACUUGUCAUUUCUCAUCAAAUAGAGACUGCUGAAUAUAGGCAGAUAAGAAAAGCUAUGAAAAAGAAUUGUUUUGCAGAAUAUUUGUCUAGUGGUCAGAUCUAGGAACUGAAUUUAUUGACUCAGAACACUUAAGUAAAAAAAAAUGGCUUCUUAUAAUCAAAAAAAUAAAAAGUUAAUUUUACAGAAGGCAGUAGUUAAUAUAGCCUCCAAUAAAAUAAAUGUUUCUCUGAAUACUUUCCGAGGCAUUACAGUGAUUUUUAACUAAUAUGAAGUUAUAUAUAAUAAUUUUAAAAUAACAUCCUUGUGUUUUCCUAUUACUGAUUGCUUAUGGAAAUUGGGUUUCAUGUAUGACUGAGAGCUAAAGCAUUACAGUGAAUUGGAAAACACAACACAAAUAUAAAGAAAGUGUUAGGCGGUGAGCAAUCUGAUUCCUUUUUGUUUGCCUUUAAGCUUAGUUUUUUGUUUUACUUUGUUUUAGACCAUGUAUAAAAUUGUUGAAUUUAAAACAUAAGAGGAUUGAGUGAUUUUUUUUUCCUCCUAAGGGUAAAUGUAGGGAAAAUCUAAACACAUAUGCAGAUUGGUUGAGUUUUAUAUCUGUUAUCGGCCAUAUUUAUUAAGAUUCAUAUUUCAUGUAUAUUAAAGGUAUUCAAAUGUAUUAAAAUUCUUAUAUUCUUUCUAUGUAAAAUAGAUGUAGGGGGUUCCCACUCUUGAAAAUAUGAAGAAAACAUGUCCUUUCAGCAGUAAUGGGUUUUGGUUGAUUAAUUGAGAAGGUUGUAUUAAACGUUCUCUAGUGGAAAUGUCUAAAGAGCAUGCUUUUUGAGAAAUGUAUCAUCUAGGAAUAAAAUCAAUUGGAGUAUUGGUAAUUAAAUUGUAAUUCCAUGAAGGAAGGAAGUUGUGCAAAAGAUGUAGCUAACUAUUCCUGUUUUUCUCUUUAAGAGUCUACAAUUCAUAAUGGAGCUACUGUACUGGCUAUUGGAAGGAGGAGAUUCUGAAGAUAAGGAGAUUCAGCGAUCGGUCUUUGAAAUUUCCUGUGAUGUGUUUCAAUCUAGAUGCAAAGGACAUGGAAAAAUCAAAGUGCUCGAGUGGUUUAAAUAUGUUUUGGAUGUUCCUGUUUGUAGACGAUAAUACUUUUCCAAUUAGAAUCCUCAGUUGUCAUGCAGAAGAAAGUUAAGCUCUACUUGAUUGCCAAUUUUACUGAAAAUGCUUAGUAUUUUACAGUAUCACUGAAUAUAUUUUGUAUAGCCAAAGUAUAGGAAAAAGAAAAUAAAUUGUAUAGGUUGACUUUUUUCUAAAAAUGUCUUUUUUCUAAAAAUGUCUUUAUUGGAUUGAAUGUUUAUGCCUGAAAAAAAAAGGUUCAAAAAAUUCCUUUUACCAUCAUAGUCAUUCUUUUGACAAUCAGUUAUUAUUAGACUCGAUUUAAAAUAAUUUUCUAAUAUGACUCUUACAUUUAUGGGAGGAAAAAGACUUGAAAGAUACUCCUGUGUGUAUUUUAAUUCUCUGUAGUAGUCCCUCUGGAAUAGAAUGUCUCUUCCUCAAACAAAUCUAUUGGCUCAUUUCAUAUAUGAGAAAAAGUUGCCCUAACUGGCAGAGUUUCAUCUCUGUAAAGAAGGCUGACAUCCACCUCCUUCACAGAAUCCUUGCAUCUGGGUAAUUGAGUAAUGACAGAUUACCUUGCCAUUGGGAAAUACCUUGUUGUGGCCUUUGUAGCAGCUACAGGAAGAUGGAAGAAUUCUUCUGUACAGACAGGUCUCCAGCCUCUUUGGUGUGGACACUGUGAAGGGGUACAUCUGGUGAGAAGGAGUGCUUAGGGAAGGAACUGGGAAGGUCCACAAAGGCUGAUGAUGACAAAGAAUCCAAGGGCUAUGAUGAAUUCUUAAGCUUAGAUCUCAGAGUCAUAAAGUAAAUUUAUUAGGCUAGAGAGAUUUCCUUUUUUAUUUUUGAUCUAACUUUAUUUUUUCAGAUUUAUAAGUUCACAUGCAGUUGUACAAAAUCAUACAGAAAUCUUUGAACACUACCCAGUUUCUCCUAAUAGUAACUUCUUGCAAUAUACUGUAUAGUACAGCAUCACAACCUGGAUAUUGACAUUGAUGCAGUCAAGAUAGAGAGCAUUUCUAUAACCAGGAGGAUCCCUCAUUACUGCCCUUUUAUAGCCACCCCUACUUCCAGACCAUCUCACUCCUCCCUUAACCCUGGCAACCACUAGCCUGUUCUCCAUUUCUAUAAAUUUGUCUUUAUAGGAAUGUUAUGUAAUUGCAAUUAAAGUGUGUAACCUUUUGGGGUUUGACUCAAACCCAGCAUCAUUUUCUGGAGAUUCAGCUUAUAUGUGUCAAUAGUUUGUUCCCUUUUUUUCAGUUCAAUAAUAUUCUGUGGUAUGCAUGUACCACAUCACUCAUCAAUUAGAACUUCUGGGUUGUAUCUGGUGUUUGAUUAUUACAAAUAAAAGUGCUAUAUAUAUUCGUGUA
Long non-coding RNA from Cercocebus atys (sooty mangabey), 2654 nucleotides. RefSeq lists it as uncharacterized. The transcript has 2 exons. The record is from RefSeq and is a predicted model, not a curated record. Lineage: Eukaryota; Metazoa; Chordata; Mammalia; Primates; Cercopithecidae.